GAUGAACGCUGGCGGCGUGCCUAAUACAUGCAAGUCGAGCGAACAGACGAGGAGCUUGCUCCUCUGACGUUAGCGGCGGACGGGUGAGUAACACGUGGAUAACCUACCUAUAAGACUGGGAUAACUUCGGGAAACCGGAGCUAAUACCGGAUAAUAUAUUGAACCGCAUGGUUCAAUAGUGAAAGACGGUUUUGCUGUCACUUAUAGAUGGAUCCGCGCCGCAUUAGCUAGUUGGUAAGGUAACGGCUUACCAAGGCAACGAUGCGUAGCCGACCUGAGAGGAUGAUCGGCCACACUGGAACUGAGACACGGUCCAGACUCCUACGGGAGGCAGCAGUAGGGAAUCGUCCGCAAUGGGCGAAAGCCUGACGGAGCAACGCCGCGUGAGUGAUGAAGGUCUUCGGAUCGUAAAACUCUGUUAUUAGGGAAGAACAAAUGUGUAAGUAACUAUGCACGUCUUGACGGUACCUAAUCAGAAAGCCACGGCUAACUACGUG
RNAcentral lists this ribosomal RNA (497 nucleotides) under uncultured bacterium. RNAcentral's name for it is "partial 16S ribosomal RNA". It matches the Rfam family "Bacterial small subunit ribosomal RNA", at positions 28 to 507 of the family's 1533-position model. The record is from RNAcentral.